UCAAGCGAGAAAGAGCACAGGGCGGAUGCCUUGGCACUAGGAGCCGAAGAAGGACGUGACAAGCUGCGAUAAGCUGCGGGCAGGAGCAAAUAUCCGAAAAUCCGCAGAUUUCCGAAUGCGGGAACGCACCUAUGGUAAUGCAUAGGUAUCCUAUGAUGAAUAAAAUAGUCAUAGAGAGGGAAACCCGGGGAACUGAAACAUCUAAGUACCCGGAGGAGAAGAAAGAAACAUCGAUUUCCUAAGUAGCGGCGAGCGAACGGGAAAGAGCCCAAACCACGCUUUUGUGUGGGGUUGAGGACACUCACAACGCAUGGAAUAUGUAGCCGAAGCGGACUGGAAAGUCCUGACGCAGAGGGUAAAAUCCCCGUAGGCGAAACGUAAGAAAUGCAGAGUGUAUCCAGAGUAGGACCGGACACGUGAAACCCGGUCUGAAGCAGGGGGGCCCACCCCCCAAGGCUAAAUACUACCUAGUGACCGAUAGCGAACAGUACCGUGAGGGAAAGGUGAAAAGAACCCCGGGAGGGGAGUGAAACAGAACCUGAAACCUUGUGCUUACAAGCAGUGGGAGCGUAAGUGACCGCGUACUUUUUGUAGAACGGGCCAACGAGUUAUGGUAUGUAGCGAGGUUAAGAAGCUGGAGCUUCGGAGCCGUAGGGAAACCGAGUCUUAACCGGCGAAUAGUUGCAUGCUGUAGACCCGAAACCGGGUGACCUAUCCAUGUGCAGGUUGAAGCGAGAGUAAAAUCUCGUGGAGGACCGAACUUAUGUCUGUUGAAAAAGGCUAGGAUGACGUGUGGAUAGCGGUGAAAUUCCAAUCGAACCCGGAUAUAGCUGGUUCUCCUCGAAAUAGCUUUAGGGCUAGCCUCGAGUCAAGAUACACGGAGGUAGAGCACUGAAUGUUCUAGGGGCCUUCACCGGUUACCGAAAACUAUCAAACUCCGAAUGCCGUGCAAUCAUACUCGGGAGUCAGACUACGAGUGAUAAGAUCCGUGGUCGAAAGGGAAACAGCCCAGACCUACAGCUAAGGUCCCAAAUUACAGAUUAAGUGGAGAAGGAUGUGGAGCUGCAUAAACAGCUAGGAUGUUGGCUUAGAAGCAGCCACUCAUUUAAAGAGUGCGUAAUAGCUCACUAGUCGAGUGGCUCUGCGCCGAAGAUAAACGGGGCUAAAAUCUGUAACCGAAGCUUAGGAUACUUUUAAGUAUGGUAGAGGAGCAUCGUAUACGGGCAGAAGCUGUGCUGAAAGGCAUGGUGGACUGUAUAGGAGAGAGAAUGUUGGCAUGAGUAGCGUAAGGCAGGUGAGAAUCCUGUCCGCCGAAAAUCUAAGGUUUCCUGAGGAAGGUUCGUCCUCUCAGGGUUAGUCGGGACCUAAGCCGAGAGCGAAAGCUGUAGGCGAUGGACAACAGGUUGAGAUUCCUGUACCACCGAAAGUUGAUUGAACGAAGUGGGGACACAGAAGGAUAAGCUGAGCGCGCCGCUGGUAGAGCGCGUCUAAGCACCAAGGGAGAUGGCCAAGGCAAAUCCGGGCUGUCAAUUCUGAGGUGUAAUGGGGAGGGAAAAUAAGUACCGAAGCAGCUGAUUUCACGCUGUCAAGAAAAGCCGCUAGUGAGACCGUAGGUGCCCGUACCGCAAACCGACACAGGUAGAUGAGGAGAGAAUCCUAAGGUGAGCGAGAGAACUAUUGUUAAGGAACUCGGCAAAAUAACCCCGUAACUUCGGGAGAAGGGGUGCCUGCGAAAGCAGGCCGCAGUGAAAAGGCCCAGGCGACUGUUUACCAAAAACACAGGUCUCUGCAAAAGCGAAAGCUGAAGUAUAGGGGCUGACGCCUGCCCGGUGCUGGAAGGUUAAGGGGAAGUGUUAGGGCAACCGAAGCACAGAACUUAAGCCCCAGUAAACGGCGGCCGUAACUAUAACGGUCCUAAGGUAGCGAAAUUCCUUGUCAGGUAAGUUCUGACCCGCACGAAAGGCGUAACGAUCUGGGC
RNAcentral lists this ribosomal RNA (1978 nucleotides) under human gut metagenome. RNAcentral's name for it is "bacterial LSU rRNA". It matches the Rfam family "Bacterial large subunit ribosomal RNA", at positions 3 to 2014 of the family's 2925-position model. The record is from RNAcentral.